Molecule: long non-coding RNA, 306 nt
Filed under: Mytilus galloprovincialis (Mediterranean mussel)
Lineage: Eukaryota; Metazoa; Mollusca; Bivalvia; Mytilida; Mytilidae
Source: RNAcentral
UUUCGGUUUGAAAAAUGUUACUUCCGAUAAUAUUUGAAUAUUUAAUUGACACUGAUUCCAAAAAGAUCUGGUUCUAUAUACUUUUUUAUAAUAAAGUACAAAAAUAGCUACUUCCGGUUUACACAAGGUCACUUCCGGUUGUUUUUUUCAAGGUUAAAUGGUUUGAUACCUUUCGCCAAAAGUCUCAUGGAUAUAUCAUGUAUAAAUAUGAGCUGAAAGCAAAGGUCAAAAACUAGAACGUCAAAUUAAUCUAUGACCUUGAGAUCAAUUUCAAGGUCAUAAACCAAGGACCUCAAAUCAAAAAAC